Gopherus evgoodei (Goodes thornscrub tortoise) is the source of this 5149-nucleotide long non-coding RNA. RefSeq lists it as uncharacterized. The record is from RefSeq and is a predicted model, not a curated record. Lineage: Eukaryota; Metazoa; Chordata; Testudines; Testudinidae. The transcript is spliced from 3 exons.
UUUAAUGCAAUAAUUAAAUGUUUUCAAAACCAAAAAAAUCAUUUUAUUGAAAAGAAACAACUGCUUGGGAAACAAAGGGCAUGAUACAUUAUUGCUGUUUGAGAUGAGGGAAGGACACUGGGUGAGGAACAGGACAAUCACAGAUUUGCGUAUGUCCUGUUAUCAUACUCGUCUUCCUGUCCGAAAUGCUGUGCAAUUAAUGCUGUGCUUCAGGCUGGCUAAAAUGCAUGGUGAUGUGGAUUGAGGGCAGUGGGUAAGGGUCAUAGUUUGCAGGGCUGGGUGGUGAAGCUACAGUUGUUGGAGGCAACUGGUGUAGAUAAGAACCCGGAUGUUGGGGAAAGUGGGGUGGAAGUGACAUGGGGGCACAAGGAAAAGUUUGGGGACAAGGACUGUGCAGGAGUGGGCGGGAGAGGGGGGCAGAAGUUCUCCGCCUGCAUUGCUGCAAGCGCCUGUGUUGCGUCGCCUUGGCGCUCCAUGAUGCUCAGCAGCCAUUCUGUGCUUUGUGCGAUCUGCAUUCUGCUGGUGGACCCUCCUUUCACUCUCGACAUUCCUGCACUCUUUGAUUUUCAUUAAGGGACUUCUGUAGGACUUCAUGCAGCAUGUCCUCUUUGCUUCUUCAUGGACACUUCCUGAUUCUUCAGAGACUUUUGGUUGUUGAUAACAAGGCUGGGAUCUCAAGGUUGCACCUGUAAAGCCAAAAUGCAACACUUAACAGAGGCAGCAUUGUUCACACCAGACAGAGCAAUAAUUCGGCCGUACUCAAAGACAAGCACAGUGUAUACAAUAGCAGAAAUUGCCCAUCCCAAAGUGAGUGCACAUAUUUUGGGGCUCCUGUAGGUUGAGUAAGCAUAGGGGCAAGAGGGACUGAUAGUUUCAGUAUUGUCCCCUGGGGUUCUGUGCCUUGGGAAGAGCCAACAGCUGCAGGGGGCCCCUAUACUGAAUAGUGUCCCCACAUUUUCCACAAGAUGAGUUUGUCCUGGAAGUUCUCGCUGCUGAGGAUGACCUGGGAAGCAAGGGAGGGUCUUCUACCACAAUGCAGCAUCCGUCCUGGCCCAUAUGCAGCUUGUCUGUGUGCAGCAGUGGUGUCUUCCCCACCGUCCAGUCACGGCACAGUGGUGCGGACUUGUUACCCUUACUGGGACAAGGAGCACAGUAGCUCUGCCAAGGAACCUGCACAAGCGAAUUGCCCAGCUUCUGCAUGAGACCUUUGAAGAGAUCACUGAGGCCAAUUACUGCAAUUUGAGAGCGCACAUCAACCCCCUAUUCUCCAUCUAGUUACGCAUGCAGCCCUAACCCUCUUUGUCCCAGGAGCCUGCACCAAACAACUUCCUUCCAAAAAUAAAAGCUGCUUACCGGGCACCUCCUCUGGUGUUCGUUCUUCCCAAAGCGCCAUCUGCUGCGACUGGCUAACAGCUCCUGGCUGCAUGCAUUUAGGGAUGUCGGGCUCGCUCUCUCCUCCUCAGUACCCUCGCUCCCGCUUUCCUCCUGCUGCCUGCCUUGUUGCACUGGGCUCUGAAGUGACCAUAGUGGUCUUCGGAGUGGAGGUGGGGUCACCCCCAAGUAUUGUGUCCAGCUCUCUGUAGAAACAUCAGGUCAUGGGGGCAGCAUUGGAGCGGCAGUUUGCCUUGCGGGCUUUGUGGUAGGCAUUCCACAGCGCCUUUACUUUAACCCUGCACUGCAGUGCAUCCCAGUCAUGGCCCCUUUCCAUCAUGUCCCUUGAUAAACCAGUCAGUUCACUUAACUGUGUCUUUUCUGAAACCCCACAAGAAACUACACUUCCUUGACCUCAGAUGUGACCUGGAGUUCUACCUGCAAAGAACCAAGACCAUUAGAAUGUCUCUGAGGCCCUUUGCUUCCAUAGCAGAAUGAGCAGAGGGCUAAGCUAUAGCCUCAAAGGGAAUUACUAAGUGGGUCUUGGGAUACAUAUUGGAAUGCGGUAAAAUAGCAAAACUUACCUUUCCCAGGGGUGUUAAAAUGCGCUCCAUGUGAGCGCAAGCAGCCUUUGUGGCAUCUUUAUCGGACGUCCCAUUUCAGGACAUCUGCAAAGCAGCAACGUGGCGAUCUAGCCACUCGUUGAUGGCACACUAUGCCCUGAUUCAAGCGUCAGCUGUGGUUGCAGCAGGAGGAAGGUCUGUAUUACAAACUACUCUACUAGCCUCCUUGCAUCAAUAUCCACACUGAUCAGUGCUUGCAAGGCACCCACGUGUAGAAUAUGCACUCGAAGGAGAAGAGGAGGUUACUUACUGUAACUGGAGGUUCUUAGUGAUGCAUGGUCCCUAUGUGUAUUCCACUGUUCACCCUUUUUCCUCUUCUUUGGCCUUAAUAACAUUGCAGUAGGACGACGAACUGGAGUGGUGUCAGCCCGCACUACCCCUUGUACUCUUGGUUGCUAGCAGAAGGGGAGACACUGUGCAUGGGUUUGUCAAAGGAUACUGCUUGGAGAAAACUUCUGGACUCAAGCAUGUAGGAUGCAUGUGCACCUACAGGUGGAAUACAGAUAGGGACCACACCUUUCCGAGAACCUCCAGUUACGUAUAGAUCGUGAUGGAAAACAUCUCUGAUGCACUGCAUCACCAAGUGGGGGAGACAGGCCUGUCUCAUUCUGUCAGGAGACCAUCAACUCUGGACAUGGUGCUACUGACCUGGGAUAACCAGGUUACCACUUGACUGGUGUACCUCUUUCACUGAACAUCAAGGCUCACUCCACCAGAGUUCGGGUGAUAUCCUUGUUCUGCUUCAGGAAUAUGCUAAUUGAGAUCUGCAAAGUGGUGAUGUGGAGUAACCAACUGAUUUGUCAAGCUUUAGGCCUUGGACUCAACUACCAAAGCAGAUGUUAAGUGUGGGAGUGGUAUGACAAUCUUUCUAAUGGAGCUGAUACUCCCUAUGCCACAAUCCAGGAAGGGUGCUGCUUGCCAGUCCCCAGCUGUGGAAUGUAAAUUGACAGAUGCUCAAAGGAAGAACAUGGUUGGUUACCUUAUAGUAACUGAGGCUAUCCAAACAGUUGUAAUCACUGUGGAUCCCAUAAUCUAUCUUCGUUUUAUGAGUUCUCAGCUACCAUUGAAUUGCAAGGGAACUGAGGGAUUAUCCUGGGUGCUCCUCCUUUAUGGCCUUGCACAGGACCAUGAGAUGUCAUAGGGCACUUUCAAGGCCUCAGUGAACACUGCUGUUCAGAAUAAUCUGAUCUCAUGUGCAUGAGACUCUCACUAACAACAUCUGGAAGAACCACAGCUAGUUUUAUUUUCACAGCCAAAAAACUGCUAUGCACCCUACAAAUAAAAAAGUGAUUACUAUCACCAGUCCUGUUUUUGUAGGCUAGAAAAUAGAUGUCUGUUUCCAUUAAAUUUAGAUAAUCCAUUUUCACUAAAUUCUUUAGCUAUUUCUAGUCUGGUCCUUCUAGUUUGUUUCUUUGGCAACACUUAGAGAAAAUUAGAUCCAGUUUUCUCCUAAAUAUAUAGUUUUCUUUAAACAGUUGAAUGCACUGCUCAUUCCCAAAUUAAUAAAACUAAUUAAUGUAAAACACUGUUGGAGACUUUCACCCCAGUUUUGAGUUGGGUCCUGAGACAUGGAGAGAAUUCGAAAUAGGCCUUUAACCACUUUUGUAUCCUCCAUUACAGCCCAUAAUUUGGAGAGUAGCCCAGAGUAGCCAGAGCACACUGCACUGCUGUCAUGUUCCCUUCUUUCCCAGGGGGCAUAGCUACACCUGGGGGCUUUGUGGGAGAGUGGCAUAGGGCUCUGUGUCAGCCCUAAGCUGAUUGGGUAAGCCCUGAACAUCAGGAGAUUCCCUGGUGAGAAAACCUGUUACUGGAGUGGCAUAAAGGAGACAGAUCCAGGCCUAACAAGCGACAGCUUGAGUUUUGAAGGAUCAAAUUUGCAAUAAAACAGAAUCUGUUAGCUAGUUUUCCCUUUCAGUAAACUUAAUACAAGUAUGUUCUUAAUAUUGUUUUCUGAAUUCUCAGAUUUUAGUUUAUAAGUCUUGAAUCAAAGAACCCAAAAGAAAUAAGUAGCUAAAGAAAAUUAUAAAGCUGUCUCCCAAUUCUUACUUCCUUUACAUUUUCCUGCAUAUGUUAUGAAACAAAACUCCUGCUUAAGUGACAUUGAAAUAAACUCAGGGCUGGUUUUGAGAACAGAGCUUACUUUUCAUCCAUAUCAUGUGCCUUUUGUUUAACAUCUUCCAGUUCAGCAAAGCAUUGUGUGACUAUAUCAGGGCCUUAAACUGGAGGCACACAGUGGGGAUGAAAAGUAGGCAUAUGUUGCAUUUAGUGCUGUUUUCUUUAUGAUAUUCCUGUAUGCAAACCUUUUCCUUUUUAUUUAAAUUUUUUUUUUUCUGUUGCUGAGUCUGUGAUAACUGGCAGCAGAACUAAUUAAAGAUUAGAAUAUUAGGGCCCCUUAUAAUUUGUCCUCCUCACUUCUUUGCAUCUUCUGACAAGAACAGUCAUGGCAGAAGUUGGCCAGAAAAUGUUUGGAAUGUUGAGUCUUAGUGUAGUCUACUUCUCUGCCUUGAGAUCAAGCCUGUUAAAGCUUCACUGCUUAUGUUUCUUGUAGUCUAAAUGCAUUUGGACCUUCCUGAGAUGGUGUUAUGGUUGAGUGUACAGAAAUAGGAAUUCUUGUCUGUUUUGCCUUUUUAAUAAAACAUAUUACACCUCUACCCUGAUAUAACACAGACCUCAGACAAAACUCGCUGCGUUCUAGGUGAGACCUCAUUAUAUCAAACUUGCUUUGCCCCCCUCCAGACGCCCCUAUCCCUAAUCACCCCCAGGACCCCACCCCCUACCCAAUCCCCCUGGCCCCGGACUGCCCCGAUCCCUAUCUACCUGGCCCUGCCGCCUGACAGGCACUCACUGGUAGCGGCAGGAAGCGGACCGGCCCCAGUCUGUUCCACUCUGCCAGCUCCCAGCUGUGGUGCUUCACUGGGCCUUGCUAAACCAGGAUUUGGCUGUACUGGCAAGUGUCUGUGCAAUAAGUUAUACCACUUUUAAUAAAAUGCUGGAAUUAAACCACUGUUGCAUGUCCACACUGUGUUCCGUGUGAUAGUGGAGGGCAUCCACAUUAGAAGCACUUGCAAGGGCAGAGAGAGCAGUGGUAGCUAGCCCACUGUGCAACUGACUGCAGGGUGCUUUGGGAAGGGUUUGCAAUGCCUCAUGGGGCAGCA